AGAAACUUAGGUUAAUUUAGACCAACGGCCUUCAAAGCCGUCAGCGAGAGUUAAAAUCUCCCAGUUCCUG
This 70-nucleotide transfer RNA is filed under the name Diplodus puntazzo (sharpsnout seabream). Its description in RNAcentral is "tRNA-Trp". It matches the Rfam family "tRNA". Rfam says of the family: Transfer RNA (tRNA) molecules are approximately 80 nucleotides in length. Their secondary structure includes four short double-helical elements and three loops (D, anti-codon, and T loops). Further hydrogen bonds mediate the characteristic L-shaped molecular structure. tRNAs have two regions of fundamental functional importance: the anti-codon, which is responsible for specific mRNA codon recognition, and the 3' end, to which the tRNAs corresponding amino acid is attached (by aminoacyl-tRNA synthetases). tRNAs cope with the degeneracy of the genetic code in two manners: having more than one tRNA (with a specific anti-codon) for a particular amino acid; and 'wobble' base-pairing, i.e. permitting non-standard base-pairing at the 3rd anti-codon position. Lineage: Eukaryota; Metazoa; Chordata; Actinopteri; Spariformes; Sparidae. The record is from RNAcentral.